This 380-nucleotide ribosomal RNA is filed under the name uncultured Lachnospiraceae bacterium. RNAcentral describes it as "bacterial SSU rRNA". It matches the Rfam family "Bacterial small subunit ribosomal RNA", at positions 1004 to 1381 of the family's 1533-position model. Lineage: Bacteria; Bacillati; Bacillota; Clostridia; Lachnospirales; Lachnospiraceae. The record is from RNAcentral.
AAAGGACAGUGUCGUCUUCGGAGCAGGGAGACAGGUGGUGCGAUGGUUGUCGUCAGCUCGUGUCGUGAGAUGUUGGGUUAAGUCCCGCAACGAGCGCAACCCUUAUCCUUAGUUACCAGCACGUAAAGGUGGGGACUCUAGGGAGACCGCCGGGGACGACUCGGAGGAAGGUGGGGACGACGUCAAAUCAUCAUGCCCCUUAUGUCUUGGGCUACACACGUGCUACAAUGGCCGCAACAGAGGGAAGCGAGAGCGCAAGCUGGAGCAAAACCCUAAAAAGCGGUCCCAGUUCGGAUUGUGGGCUGCAACCCGCCCACAUGAAGUCGGAGUUGCUAGUAAUCGCGAAUCAGCAUGUCGCGGUGAAUGCGUUCCCGGGCCUC